Molecule: ribosomal RNA, 394 nt
Filed under: uncultured bacterium
Lineage: Bacteria
Description: bacterial SSU rRNA
Rfam family: Bacterial small subunit ribosomal RNA
Source: RNAcentral
GACGAACGCUGGCGGCGUGCUUAACACAUGCAAGUCGAGCGGUAAGGCCCUUUCGGGGGUACACGAGCGGCGAACGGGUGAGUAACACGUGGGUGACCUGCCCUCAGCUCUGGGAUAAGCCUGGGAAACUGGGUCUAAUACCGGAUAUGACUCCAUGACGCAUGUUGUGGGGUGGAAAGCCUUGUGCGGCUGAGGAUGGGCCCGCGGCCUAUCAGCUUGUUGGUGGGGUGAUGGCCUACCAAGGCGACGACGGGUAGCCGGCCUGAGAGGGCGACCGGCCACACUGGGACUGAGACACGGCCCAGACUCCUACGGGAGGCAGCAGUGGGGAAUCUUGCGCAAUGGGCGAAAGCCUGACGCAGCGACGCCGCGUGAGGGAUGACGGCCUGUGUAG